RNAcentral lists this ribosomal RNA (253 nucleotides) under uncultured bacterium. Its description in RNAcentral is "partial 16S ribosomal RNA". It matches the Rfam family "Bacterial small subunit ribosomal RNA", at positions 524 to 776 of the family's 1533-position model. The record is from RNAcentral.
UACGUAGGGGGCAAGCGUUGUUCGGAAUUACUGGGCGUAAAGGGCUCGUAGGCGGCCAACUAAGUCGGACGUGAAAUCCCUCGGCUCAACCGGGGAACUGCGUCCGAUACUGGAUGGCUUGAAUCCCGGAGAGGAGGGUGGAAUUCCUGGUGUAGCGGUGAAAUGCGUAGAUAUCAGGAGGAACACCGGUGGCGAAGGCGGCCCUCUGGACGGUGACUGACGCUGAGACGCGAAAGCGUGGGGAGCAAACAGG